This 469-nucleotide ribosomal RNA is filed under the name uncultured bacterium. RNAcentral describes it as "partial 16S ribosomal RNA". It matches the Rfam family "Bacterial small subunit ribosomal RNA", at positions 28 to 507 of the family's 1533-position model. The record is from RNAcentral.
GACGAACGCUGGCGGCGUGCUUAACACAUGCAAGUCGAACGGAAAGUCCCUGCUUGCAGGGUGCUCGAGUGGCGAACGGGUGAGUAACACGUUGGUGAUCUGCCCCUUACUUUGUGUUAAGCCUGUUAAACUGUGUCUAAUACUUGUUAGGACCAUGCUUUAGUUGGUGUGUUGUUAAGAUUAGUUUCGGUUAGGUAUGAGCUCGCGGACUAUCAGCUUGUUUGUGGGGUAAUGGCCUACCAAGCCGUCUACGGGUAGCCGGCCUGAGAGGGUGGACGGCAACAUUGGGACGGAGAUACGGACCAGAAUCAUACGGGAGGCAGCAGUGGGGAAUAUUGCACAAUGGGAGAAAGCCUGAUGCAGAGACGCAGCGUGGGGGAUGACGGCCUUCGGGUUGUAAACUCCUUACAGACAUGACGAAGCACUUGUGGUGACGGUAGUGGUAGAAGAAGCACCGGCUAACUACGUG